Non-coding RNA from Brachypodium distachyon (stiff brome), 200 nucleotides. The record is from Rfam. Lineage: Eukaryota; Viridiplantae; Streptophyta; Magnoliopsida; Poales; Poaceae.
UAGUUUUGUCCUAAGUCAAACUUCUUAAAGUUUGACCAAGUUCAUGGAAAAAUGUACUAACAUCUACAAUAUUAAAUAAGUAUACUACGAAGAUAUAUAUCAUGACUGAUUUAAUAGAAGUAAUUUAGAGUUGUAGAUGUUGGUAGAUUUUUCUAUAAACUUAGUCAAACUUUAAGAUGUUUGACUUAGGACAAAACUAG